GAUUAACGCUGGCGGCGUGCCUAACACAUGCAAGUCGAGCGGCAGCGAGUUUUACACUGAAUUCUGGAAGCUUCUAGUUGAAAGAGAAGAUUUAUUCAAGAAUUUUGUGUAAAAUGUCGGCGAGCGGCGGACGGCUGAGUAACGCGUGGGAACGUACCCCAAAGUGAGGGAUAACGCAUCGAAAGGUGUGCUAAUACCGCAUAUGGUCUUCGGAUUAAAGCCUUCGGGCGCUUUGGGAACGGCCUGCGUAAGAUUAGAUAGUUGGUGGGGUAAUGGCCUACCAAGUCGACGAUCUUUAACUGGUUUGAGAGGAUGAGCAGUCAGACUGGAACUGAGACACGGUCCAGACUCCUACGGGAAGCAGCAGUGAGGAAUCUUCCACAAUGGGCGAAAGCCUGAUGGAGCAACGCCGCGUGCAGGAUGAAGGCCUUCGGGUUGUAAACUGCUUUUAUAAGUGAGGAUUAUGACAGUAACUUAUGAAUAAGGAUCGGCUAACUACGUG
This 502-nucleotide ribosomal RNA is filed under the name uncultured bacterium. RNAcentral's name for it is "partial 16S ribosomal RNA". It matches the Rfam family "Bacterial small subunit ribosomal RNA", at positions 28 to 507 of the family's 1533-position model. The record is from RNAcentral.